UAAAUAGCUGUGAGCAAGAGAGUAGCUAGUGGGAACCGCAGUAGAGAGCCGUGUUGCUGGGAGACGGUCGGAACGCACUAGUGAACGUAGCUUGUGAGCUGGUUAGCUGAAAUCAGUAGGCUAACACCGGAGCACACUCCGUUAACAACGAAGAUAAGUGGGGCAUUAACGCCCAAUUUAGGUGGUACCGCGAAGAGACUUCGUCCUAAUG
Molecule: non-coding RNA, 211 nt
Filed under: Levilactobacillus namurensis
Lineage: Bacteria; Bacillati; Bacillota; Bacilli; Lactobacillales; Lactobacillaceae
Description: Lactobacillus namurensis T-box sequence
Rfam family: T-box leader
About the family: Uncharged tRNA acts as the effector for transcription antitermination of genes in the T-box leader family. T-boxes are found upstream of many aminoacyl-tRNA synthetase genes and some amino acid biosynthetic genes usually in Gram-positive bacteria. The anticodon of a specific tRNA base pairs to a specifier sequence within the T-box motif, and the NCCA acceptor tail of the tRNA base pairs to a conserved bulge in the T-box antiterminator hairpin.
Source: RNAcentral